RNAcentral lists this ribosomal RNA (468 nucleotides) under uncultured bacterium. RNAcentral describes it as "partial 16S ribosomal RNA". It matches the Rfam family "Bacterial small subunit ribosomal RNA", at positions 28 to 507 of the family's 1533-position model. The record is from RNAcentral.
GACGAACGCUGGCGGCGUGCUUAACACAUGCAAGUCGAACGGAAAGGCCCUGCUUUUGUGGGGUGCUCGAGUGGCGAACGGGUGAGUAACACGUGAGUAACCUGCCCUUGACUUUGGGAUAACUUCAGGAAACUGGGGCUAAUACCGGAUAGGAGCUCCUGCUGCAUGGUGGGGGUUGGAAAGUUUCGGCGGUUGGGGAUGGACUCGCGGCUUAUCAGCUUGUUGGUGGGGUAGUGGCCUACCAAGGCUUUGACGGGUAGCCGGCCUGAGAGGGUGACCGGCCACAUUGGGACUGAGAUACGGCCCAGACUCCUACGGGAGGCAGCAGUGGGGAAUAUUGCGCAAUGGGCGGAAGCCUGAUGCAGCAACGCCGCGUGCGGGAUGACGGCCUUCGGGUUGUAAACCGCUUUCGCCUGUGACGAAGCGUGAGUGACGGUAAUGGGUAAAGAAGCACCGGCUAACUACGUG